RNAcentral lists this transfer RNA (67 nucleotides) under Eteoneus sigillatus. RNAcentral describes it as "tRNA-Phe". It matches the Rfam family "tRNA". From Rfam's summary of the family: Transfer RNA (tRNA) molecules are approximately 80 nucleotides in length. Their secondary structure includes four short double-helical elements and three loops (D, anti-codon, and T loops). The record is from RNAcentral. Lineage: Eukaryota; Metazoa; Arthropoda; Insecta; Hemiptera; Tingidae.
AUUUAAGUAGCUUAAUAGUUAAAGUUUAAUAUUGAAGAUAUUACGAUAAGGUUCACCUUCUUAAAUA